UAGAUACCCUGGUAGUCCACGCCGUAAACGUUGGGCGCUAGAUGUAGGGACCUUUCCACGGUUUCUGUGUCGUAGCUAACGCAUUAAGCGCCCCGCCUGGGGAGUACGGCCGCAAGGCUAAAACUCAAAGGAAUUGACGGGGGCCCGCACAAGCGGCGGAGCAUGCGGAUUAAUUCGAUGCAACGCGAAGAACCUUACCAAGGCUUGACAUACACCGGAAACGGCCAGAGAUGGUCGCCCCCUUGUGGUCGGUGUACAGGUGGUGCAUGGUUGUCGUCAGCUCGUGUCGUGAGAUGUUGGGUUAAGUCCCGCAACGAGCGCAACCCUCGUUCUAUGUUGCCAGCGCGUUAUGGCGGGGACUCAUAGGAGACUGCCGGGGUCAACUCGGAGGAAGGUGGGGAUGACGUCAAAUCAUCAUGCCCCUUAUGUCUUGGGCUUCACGCAUGCUACAAUGGCCGGUACAAAGGGCUGCGAUACCGUAAGGUGGAGCGAAUCCCAAAAAGCCGGUCUCAGUUCGGAUUGAGGUCUGCAACUCGACCUCAUGAAGUCGGAGUCGCUAGUAAUCGCAGAUCAGCAACGCUGCGGUGAAUACGUUCCCGGGCCUUGUACACACCGCCCGUCAAGUCAUGAAAGUCGGUAACACCCGAAGCCGGU
This 654-nucleotide ribosomal RNA is filed under the name Curtobacterium luteum. RNAcentral describes it as "bacterial SSU rRNA". It matches the Rfam family "Bacterial small subunit ribosomal RNA", at positions 779 to 1431 of the family's 1533-position model. Lineage: Bacteria; Bacillati; Actinomycetota; Actinomycetes; Micrococcales; Microbacteriaceae. The record is from RNAcentral.